RNA transcript from Strigops habroptila (Kakapo), 3670 nucleotides. It is a transcript of the gene named heat shock protein 90 alpha family class B member 1, with no coding region annotated. The transcript has 20 exons. NCBI's taxonomy places the organism in Eukaryota, Metazoa, Chordata, Aves, Psittaciformes, Psittacidae. The record is from RefSeq and is a predicted model, not a curated record.
GGAUUCCCCAGCAGAUCCGCAUCUCAGGCAGCCUGGUGGCCAUUGGGCUGGUGUUUUUAGUCACCGCGAUCAUGGUGAAGGUUCCCAUGGAGCCUCUGCCUUUCUUCGUCUUUACCAUGAUCAGCAUUGUCUUCAUUAACUCCUUUGGUGCCAUCCUCCAGAGCAGCCUCUUUGGGCUGGCAGGGCUCCUGCCUGCCAGCUACACAGCUCCCAUCAUGAGCGGGCAGGGCUUGGCAGGCACCUUUGCUGCUUUGGCGAUGAUCUUCAGUAUUGCCAUUGGUGCCCAGCAGCCUGAGAGCUUCAUCGGUUACUUCACCACGGCCUGUGUGGCGAUCGUGCUGGCAAUCUUCUCCUACAUCCUUCUGCCUCGCAUGGAUUUCUUCCGAUACUACUCCAUGAAGGACAAGACUGAGUACAGUGUGUACAAUGCAGAGCUGGAGACCAAGAGAGACCUGAUUAAAAAAGAUGAGCCCAAUGGGAUGGAGCAGAAUAACUCAAAGAUCAUCCCUCCCCACAACCCUGAUGAGAAGCCCUCGGUCAUUGCUAUUUUUAAGAAGCUCUGGGUCAUGGCUGUGUCUGUCUGCUUCGUCUUCACUGUCACCAUUGGCGUCUUUCCAUCCGUCACAGCUAAGGUGUCCACUGUCCUCGGAGAGGGAAACAAAUGGGAUUUAUACUUCAUCCCUGUCUCCUGCUUCCUGCUCUUUAAUGUCUUCGACUGGACAGGACGGAGUCUCACUGCCCUCUUCACAUGGCCCGGGAAGGACAGCUGCCUCCUGCCAGUGAUGGUGGCCCUCCGUGUCAUCUUUAUCCCUCUUUUCAUGCUGUGCAACGUGCAACCCCGUGGCUACCUGCCUGUCGUAUUCUCUCACGACGCCUGGUACAUCACCUUCAUGAUCUUCUUCUCCAUCUCCAACGGCUACCUGGCCAGCCUCUGCAUGUGCUUUGGGCCCAAAUGCCCGAGCAAAUGCAGCGCGAUCAGGAGGAUGCGGAGACGUUCGCCUUCCAGGCGGAGAUCGCCCAGCUCAUGUCGCUCAUCAUCAACACCUUCUACUCCAACAAGGAGAUCUUUCUGCGGGAGCUCAUCUCCAACGCCUCUGACGCACUGGAUAAGAUCCGCUACGAGAGCCUGACUGACCCCUCAAAGCUGGACAGCGGUAAAGAGCUCAAGAUUGACAUAGUCCCCAACCCCCGGGAGCGCACCCUCACCUUGGUGGACACUGGAAUUGGUAUGACAAAAGCAGAUCUCAUCAACAACCUGGGCACCAUUGCCAAAUCCGGGACCAAAGCCUUCAUGGAAGCACUGCAGGCUGGUGCAGACAUUUCCAUGAUUGGGCAGUUCGGUGUGGGUUUCUAUUCUGCCUAUCUAGUGGCUGAGAAGGUGGUUGUCAUUACCAAACACAACGAUGAUGAGCAGUAUGCUUGGGAGUCGUCAGCUGGGGGCUCCUUCACUGUCCGAACUGACCACGGCGAGCCCAUUGGACGGGGCACCAAAGUGAUCCUGCAUUUGAAGGAGGACCAGACAGAGUACUUGGAGGAGCAGCGUGUCAAAGAGGUGGUGAAGAAGCACUCCCAGUUCAUUGGCUACCCCAUCACACUCUAUACGGAGAAGGAGCGUGAGAAAGAGAUCAGUGGUGAUGAGGCAGAGGAGGAGAAAGAUGAGAAGGAAGAGGAAGAGUCAGUGUCCAAAGAUGAGAAACCCAAAAUCGAAGAUGUGGGCUCUGAUGAGGAGGAAGAGGAAGGAAGUAAAGGCAAGAAGAAGACGACCAAGAAAAUCAAGGAGAAAUAUAUUGACCAGGAGGAGCUGAACAAGACCAAGCCUAUUUGGACACGCAACCCUGACGACAUCACCCAGGAGGAGUAUGGCGAGUUCUACAAGAGCCUUACCAACGACUGGGAGGACCACCUGGCUGUCAAGCACUUCUCUGUGGAAGGGCAGCUGGAGUUCAGGGCCCUGCUCUUCAUCCCGCGCCGUGCCCCUUUUGACCUCUUUGAGAACAAGAAGAAGAAGAAUAACAUUAAGCUGUAUGUGAGGCGUGUCUUCAUCAUGGACAGCUGUGAUGAGCUAAUCCCUGAGUACCUAAACUUCAUCCGGGGUGUUGUGGACUCCGAGGACCUGCCUCUGAACAUCUCUCGUGAGAUGCUCCAACAGAGCAAGAUCCUCAAGGUGAUCCGCAAAAACAUAGUGAAGAAAUGCUUGGAGCUCUUCUCCGAGCUGGCAGAGGACAAGGAGAACUACAAGAAAUUUUACGAGGCUUUUUCCAAGAAUCUGAAGCUGGGCAUCCACGAGGACUCGACCAACCGGAAGCGCCUUUCGGAGCUGCUGCGUUACCACACAUCCCACUCGGGUGAUGAGAUGGCUUCGCUUGCAGAGUAUGUGUCCCGUAUGAAGGACAGCCAGAAGAGUAUCUACUACAUCACAGGGGAGAGUAAGGAGCAGGUUGCCAACUCAGCCUUCGUGGAGCGUGUGAGGAAGCGUGGCUUUGAGGUGGUGUACAUGACGGAGCCCAUUGACGAGUACUGUGUGCAGCAGCUCAAGGAGUUUGAUGGCAAGACCCUGGUAUCGGUCACCAGAGAGGGGCUGGAGCUGCCUGAGGAUGAGGAGGAGAAAAAGAAGAUGGAGGAGAGCAAGGCCAAGUUUGAAACCCUCUGCAAACUCAUGAAGGAGAUCCUGGACAAGAAGGUGGAGAAGAGGAGCCGCUAAAGGAGACUGGAGAUCCCAGCAUGCACCAUCUUGCUCUAAGCAGCCAGGCUGCAGGUGACUGUCUCAAACCGGUUGGUCUCCUCUCCCUGCUGCAUCGUCACCAGCACCUAUGGUUGGACAGCCAACAUGGAGCGCAUCAUGAAGGCUCAGGCACUGCGGGACAACUCUACCAUGGGCUACAUGAUGGCCAAGAAGCACUUGGAGAUCAACCCUGACCACCCAAUUGUGGAAACCCUCCGCCAGAAGGCUGCUGCUGACAAGAAUGACAAAGCUGUUAAAGAUCUGGUGGUGCUACUCUUUGAGACUGCUCUGCUCUCCUCUGGCUUCUCCCUGGAAGAUCCCCAGACCCACUCCAACUGCAUCUACAGGAUGAUCAAACUGGGGCUUGGCAUUGAUGAAGAUGAGGUGACUGCAGAGGUACCCAGUGCAGCUGCCCCAGAUGAAAUUCCCCCUCUGGAGGGAGAUGAAGAUACAUCCCGCAUGGAAGAGGUAGACUAAAGCAGGAGGAAGCCUCUUCCCUCACCUGCCAGGCCUAUGCCCCGUAUCAUGUCUGCUUAGAAGCGGGUCUGCUCCCACCAGCUGCUACUGACUCCCUGGUGGUGUCUGUUUUCUUGGAUUUGCUUGGCUGGGGUUGUUUUUGGCAGGGUGCAGGAGGUCAUCAUUCCCUCUUUGUCAGUAGCGAGUGAUUGAGGCAGCCUGAGGCAUGUCUCUUCUAUGUCUUUCUGCUUGAGUAGGAACAGCUGAUGGGGAGCGGAGGUGAGGAGGCAUCAGGCUUCUCUGUCCCAGCCAUGGGGUCUCCCAUGUUCCCAGUAGGCAUCAAACCUUGUUCCACUGGUGUGGGAGAGCCCUUCCUCUGAGCUGCUGCUUCUCUGACCUCCAGAGUAGGAGACUGUAUUUCAGUUAUGUUUUGUUUAUUUUCCUAGGGUUUUUAUGUUCUUCUGAAAUUAAAGUAUCAAAGAAAGUGAUUUA